AGGGAUCAUUACCGAGUUUACAACUCCCAAACCCCUGUGAACAUACCUAUACGUUGCCUCGGCGGAUCAGCCCGCGCCCUGUAAAAAGGGACGGCCCGCCCGAGGACCCUAAACUCUGUUUUUAGUGGAACUUCUGAGUAAAACAAACAAAUAAAUCAAAACUUUCAACAACGGAUCUCUUGGUUCUGGCAUCGAUGAAGAACGCAGCAAAAUGCGAUAAGUAAUGUGAAUUGCAGAAUUCAGUGAAUCAUCGAAUCUUUGAACGCACAUUGCGCCCGCCAGUAUUCUGGCGGGCAUGCCUGUUCGAGCGUCAUUUCAACCCUCAAGCUCAGCUUGGUGUUGGGACUCGCGGUAACCCGCGUUCCCCAAAUCGAUUGGCGGUCACGUCGAGCUUCCAUAGCGUAGUAAUCAUACACCUCGUUACUGGUAAUCGUCGCGGCCACGCCGUAAAACCCCAACUUCUGAAUGUUGACCUCGGAUCAGGUAGGAAUACCCGCUGAACUUAAGCAUAUCAAUAAGCGGAGGAAAAGAAACCAACAGGGAUUGCCCUAGUAACGGCGAGUGAAGCGGCAACAGCUCAAAUUUGAAAUCUGGCUCUCGGGCCCGAGUUGUAAUUUGUAGAGGAUGCUUUUGAUGCGGUGCCUUCCGAGUUCCCUGGAACGGGACGCCAUAGGGGGUGAGAGCCCCGUCUGGUUGGAUGUCAAAUCUCUGUAAAGCUCCUUCGACGAGUCGAGUAGUUUGGGAAUGCUGCUCUAAAUGGGAGGUAUAUGUCUUCUAAAGCUAAAUACCGGCCAGAGACCGAUAGCGCACAAGUAGAGUGAUCGAAAGAUGAAAAGCACUUUGAAAAGAGAGUUAAAAAGUACGUGAAAUUGUUGAAAGGGAAGCGUUUAUGACCAGACUUGGGCUUGGUUAAUCAUCUGGGGUUCUCCCCAGUGCACUUUUCCAGUCCAGGCCAGCAUCAGUUUUCGCCGGGGGAUAAAGGCUUCGGGAAUGUGGCUCUCUCCGGGGAGUGUUAUAGCCCGUUGCGUAAUACCCUGGCGGGGACUGAGGUUCGCGCAUCUGCAAGGAUGCGGCGUGAUGGUCAUCAACGACC
This 1093-nucleotide ribosomal RNA is filed under the name uncultured Fusarium. RNAcentral's name for it is "eukaryotic LSU rRNA". The stretch from base 470 to 1093 matches the Rfam family "Eukaryotic large subunit ribosomal RNA", at positions 1 to 649 of the family's 3401-position model. Lineage: Eukaryota; Fungi; Ascomycota; Sordariomycetes; Hypocreales; Nectriaceae. The record is from RNAcentral.